GCUUGGGAACAUGCCUUGAGGUGGGGGACAACAGUUGGAAACGACUGCUAAUACCGCAUAAUGUCUACGGACCAAAGGGGGCUUCGGCUCUCGCCUUUAGAUUGGCCCAAGUGGGAUUAGCUAGUUGGUGAGGUAAUGGCUCACCAAGGCGACGAUCCCUAGCUGGUUUGAGAGGAUGAUCAGCCACACUGGGACUGAGACACGGCCCAGACUCCUACGGGAGGCAGCAGUGGGGAAUAUUGCACAAUGGGCGCAAGCCUGAUGCAGCCAUGCCGCGUGUGUGAAGAAGGCCUUCGGGUUGUAAAGCACUUUCAGUCAGGAGGAAAGCGUGGUGGUUAAUACCCAUCAUGUGUGACGUUACUGACAGAAGAAGCACCGGCUAACUCCGUGCCAGCAGCCGCGGUAAUACGGAGGGUGCGAGCGUUAAUCGGAAUUACUGGGCGUAAAGCGUACGCAGGCGGUUUGUUAAGCGAGAUGUGAAAGCCCCGGGCUCAACCUGGGAACUGCAUUUCGAACUGGCAAACUAGAGUGUGAUAGAGGGUGGUAGAAUUUCAGGUGUAGCGGUGAAAUGCGUAGAGAUCUGAAGGAAUACCGAUGGCGAAGGCAGCCACCUGGGUCAACACUGACGCUCAUGUACGAAAGCGUGGGGAGCAAACGGGAUUAGAUACCCCGGUAGUCCACG
Molecule: ribosomal RNA, 682 nt
Filed under: Pseudoalteromonas translucida
Lineage: Bacteria; Pseudomonadati; Pseudomonadota; Gammaproteobacteria; Alteromonadales; Pseudoalteromonadaceae
Description: bacterial SSU rRNA
Rfam family: Bacterial small subunit ribosomal RNA
Source: RNAcentral